RNAcentral lists this ribosomal RNA (468 nucleotides) under uncultured bacterium. Its description in RNAcentral is "partial 16S ribosomal RNA". It matches the Rfam family "Bacterial small subunit ribosomal RNA", at positions 28 to 507 of the family's 1533-position model. The record is from RNAcentral.
GACGAACGCUGGCGGCGUGCUUAACACAUGCAAGUCGAACGGAAAGGCCCUGCUUUUGUGGGGUUCUCGAGUGGCGAACGGGUGAGUAACACGUGAGUAACCUGCCCUUGACUUUCGGAUAACUUCAGGAAACUGGGGCUCAUACCGGAUAUGAGCUCCUGCUGCAUGGUGUGGGUUGGAAAGUUUCGGCUGUUGUGGAUGGACUCGCGGCUUAUGAGCUUGUUGGUGGGGUAGUGGCUUACCAAGUCUUUGACGGGUAGCCUGCCUGAGAGGGUGAACGGGCACAAGGGGACUGAGAGACGGACCAGAAGGGUACGGGAGGCAGUAGGGGGGAAUAUGGCACAAUGGGCGGAAGCGUGAUGCAGCAACGCCGGGUGCGGGAUGAUGGCCUUCGGGUGGUAAACAGCUGUCGAAGGAGACGAAGAGUGAGUGACGGUAAUGGGUAAAGAAGCACCGGCUAACUACGUG